GUUUGAUCCUGGCUCAGGAUGAACGCUGGCUGUGUGCCUAAUACACGCAUGUCGAACGAAGUACUUGUACUUAGUGGCAAAUGGGUGAGUAACACGUACCUAACUUGCCUUUUAGAUUGGGACAACCACGGGAAACUGUGGCUAAUACCAAAUAUGUAUAAUUAACAUAUGUUUUUUAUAUGAAAGGAAGCGAUUGCUUUGCUAAAAGAUAGGGGUGCGCUACAUUAGCUUGUUGGUAGGGUAAAAGCCUACCAAGGCUAUGAUGUAUAGUGGGAUCGAGAGGUUGAACCACCACACUGGGAUUGAGAUACGGCCCAGACUCCUACGGGAGGCAGCAGUAGGGAAUAUUCCACAAUGAGCGAAAGCUUGAUGGAGCGACACAGCGUGUAGGAUGAAUGCCUUAGGGUUGUAAACUACUGUUAUAAGAGAAGAAUAGCUAAAAAAGGAAAUGUUUUUAGUCUGACGGUAUCUUAUCAGAAAGCAGUUGCAAACUAUGUGCCAGCAGCAGCGGUAAUACAUAGACUGCAAGCGUUAUCCGGAAUUAUUGGGCGUAAAGCAUUCGUAGGUUGUUUAUUAAGUUUGGUGUUAAAAACAAAAGCUCAACUUUUGUUUGCAUUAAAUACUAAUAGACUAGAGUUAUAAAGAGGUUAAUGGAACUCCAUAUGAAGCGGUGGAAUGCGUAGAUAGGUGGAAGAACACCAAUGGCGAAGGCAAUUAACUGGAUAUACACUGACACUGAGGGAUGAAAGCGUGGGGAGCAAACAGGAUUAGAUACCCUGGUAGUCCACGCUGUAAACGAUGUUUGUUAAUCGGUGGUGAAAUCACUGAUACAGCUAACGCAAUAAACAAACCGCCUGAGUAGUAUGCUCGCAAGAGUGAAACUUAAAGGAAUUGACGGGGAGCCGCACAAGCGGUGGAGCAUGUGGUUUAAUUCGAAGAUACGCGAAGCACCUUACCAACAUUUGACAUCUUUUGCAAAGGCAUAGAGAUAUGCUGGAGGAUAACAAAAAGACAGGUGGUGCAUGGCCGUCGUCAGCUCGCGCCGUGAGGUGUUGGGUUAAGUCCUAUAACGAGCGCAACCCUUUUCUUUAGUUACUAACAUUUAGUUGAGCACUCUAAAGAUACUGCCUAGGUAACUAGGAGGAAGGAGGGGAUGAGGUAGGUCAUCAUGCCUCUUACAUGUUGGGUUACACACGUGCUACAAUGGCAAAUACAAAGAGAAGCAAAAUCGUGAGGUGGAGCAAAUCUGUAAAAUUUGUCUCAGUUCGGAUUGGAGUCUGCAACUCGACUCCAUGAAGUAGGAAUCGCUAGUAAUCCUAGAUCAUCAAUGCUAGGGUGAAUACGUUCUCGGCUCUUGUACACACCGCCCGUCAAACCAUGGGAGUUGGUAAUACCCAAAGCUAGUUAGUUAACCAUUUAUUUGGAGGCAACUAUCUAAGGUAGGAUCAAUGACUGGGGUUAAGUCGUAACAAGGUAACC
Molecule: ribosomal RNA, 1479 nt
Filed under: uncultured Mycoplasma sp.
Lineage: Bacteria; Bacillati; Mycoplasmatota; Mollicutes; Mycoplasmatales; Mycoplasmataceae
Description: bacterial SSU rRNA
Rfam family: Bacterial small subunit ribosomal RNA
Source: RNAcentral